CCCUUAGACACUCUAGGCGGCACGCGCGCUACAAUGGGUGGAAGAACGUGUUACUGCCUCCGAAAGGAGGGGUGAAUCACGAAUUCUUGCCCGUGAAUGGGAUAGUUUGUUGCAAUUUUCGGAUUUGAACUAGGAAUCCCUUGUAAACAUGCUCAAGAAUAGCGUGUUGAAUACGUCCCUGCCGUUUGUACACACCGCCCGUCGUUUCUUCCGACUGAUACUCAUUGUGAGUUGCAAGGACCCUUUAUUGGGAAAUUGCUGCAAAUGCUUUGUAUUGGAGGAAGAAAAAGUCGUAACA
Molecule: ribosomal RNA, 298 nt
Filed under: uncultured eukaryote
Lineage: Eukaryota
Description: partial 18S ribosomal RNA
Rfam family: Eukaryotic small subunit ribosomal RNA
Source: RNAcentral